AGCAGCCGCGGUAAUUCCAGCUCCAAUAGCGUAUAUUAAAGUUGUUGCAGUUAAAAAGCUUGUAGUUGAAUUUCGGGGUCAGUAGAUUGGUCGUGCCACUGGUAUGUACUGGUCUCACUGGCUCCUCCUUCCUGAUGAACCGUAAUGCCAUUAAUUUGGUGUUGCGGGGAGACUGGACUGUUACUUUGAAAAAAUUAGAGUGUUUAAAGCAGGCUAACGCUUGAAUACAUUAGCAUGGAAUAAUGAAAUAGGACGUUCGAUCUUAUUUUGUUGGUUUCUAAGAUUGACGUAAUGAUUAAUAGGGAUAGUUGGGGGCAUUAGUAUUCAAUUGUCAGAGGUGAAAUUCUUGGAGAUAU
RNAcentral lists this ribosomal RNA (356 nucleotides) under uncultured Glomeraceae. Its description in RNAcentral is "SSU rRNA". It matches the Rfam family "Eukaryotic small subunit ribosomal RNA", at positions 569 to 929 of the family's 1831-position model. The record is from RNAcentral. Lineage: Eukaryota; Fungi; Glomeromycota; Glomeromycetes; Glomerales; Glomeraceae.